Molecule: ribosomal RNA, 384 nt
Filed under: uncultured bacterium
Lineage: Bacteria
Description: bacterial SSU rRNA
Rfam family: Bacterial small subunit ribosomal RNA
Source: RNAcentral
GACGAACGCUGGCGGCGUGCUUAACACAUGCAAGUCGAGCGAGAACCCGGGGCUUGCCCCGGGGGAAAGCGGCGAACGGGUGCGUACCACGUGGGCAACCUGCCCCAGACACUGGGAUAACUCCGGGAAACCGGGGCUAAUACCGGAUACUCCGGCCGAACCGCAUGAUCCGGCCGGGAAAGCUCCGACGGUCUGGGAUGGGCCCGCGGCCUAUCAGCUUGUUGGUGGGGUAACGGCCUACCAAGGCUUCGACGGGUAGCUGGCUGAGAGGACGACCAGCCACACUGGAACUGAGACACGGUCCAGACUCCUACGGGAGGCAGCAGUGGGGAAGUCUUGUCGCAAAUGAGCGAAAGACUUGACGCAGCGACGCCGCGUGGGGGA